AUUGAACGCUGGCGGCAGGCCUAACACAUGCAAGUCGAACGGUAACAGGAAGCAGCUUGCUGCUUCGCUGACGAGUGGCGGACGGGUGAGUCAUGUCUGGGAAACUGCCUGAUGGAGGGGGAUAACUACUGGAAACGGUAGCUAAUACCGCAUAACGUCGCAAGCCCAAAGAGGGGGACCUUAGGGCCUCUUGCCAUCGGCUGUGCCCAGAUGGGAUUAGCUAGUAGGUGGGGUAACGGCUCACCUAGGCGACGAUCCCUAGCUGGUCUGAGAGGAUGACCAGCCACACUGGAACUGAGACACGGUCCAGACUCCUACGGGAGGCAGCAGUGGGGAAUAUUGCACAAUGGGCGCAAGCCUGAUGCAGCCAUGCCGCGUGUAUGAAGAAGGCCUUCGGGUUGUAAAGUACUUUCAGCGGGGAGGAAGGGAGUAAAGUUAAUACCUUUGCUCAUUGACGUUACCCGCAGAAGAAGCACCGGCUAACUCCGUG
RNAcentral lists this ribosomal RNA (490 nucleotides) under uncultured bacterium. RNAcentral describes it as "partial 16S ribosomal RNA". It matches the Rfam family "Bacterial small subunit ribosomal RNA", at positions 30 to 507 of the family's 1533-position model. The record is from RNAcentral.